RNAcentral lists this ribosomal RNA (2290 nucleotides) under Clostridioides difficile. RNAcentral describes it as "partial 23S ribosomal RNA". The record is from RNAcentral. Lineage: Bacteria; Bacillati; Bacillota; Clostridia; Peptostreptococcales; Peptostreptococcaceae.
UGGUAAGUUAUUAAGGGUGGAGGGGGAUGUUGGAUAGGAGGAUGAAGGAGUGAUAAGUGGGAUAAGUUGGGGAGUUGAGUAAAUUUGAUGAAGAUUUGAAUGAGGAAAUAUUAGAGUAAUGUUAAGUAUAUUAAGUGAAUAAUAGUUAAUGAGGGGAAUAGGGAAUGAAAAUUAAGUAUGAAGGAAGAGAAAGAAAUUGAUUGUAAGUAGGGGAGGAAGGGAUUAGAAAAAUAAAGUUUUUUUGUUGGGGUUGGGAAUAUAUAAGAAGAGGUAUGUAAUUGAAGAGGUUUGGAAAGAAAAAGAAGGUAAUAGUUGUAUGUUAAAGAGAAGAUUUAGAUAUGAUAGAGUAAGGGAAGUGAAAUGUGGGAAGAGGAGGGAAUAAGGUAAAUAUAUAGUGAGGAUAGGUAUAGUAGGUGAGGGAAAGGUGAAAAGAAGGGAGGGGAGUGAAAUAGAAUGAAAUGAUUAAAGUGUGGAAGAAUUUUUGUGUGAGGUAUUUUUGUAGAAGGGAAGAGUUAGUUAAGUAGAAGGUUAAGAUUAAGGUGUGGAGGUAGGAAAGGAGUUUUAAUGAGGGUUAGUUAUUGAGUAGAGAAAGGGGAUAAUGAGAGGAUGAAGGAAAGUAAAAUUUGUGGAGGUGAAAGAGGUUGAAAAGUGGGAUGAUUGUGGGUAGGGUGAAAUUAAUGAGGGAGAUAGUGGUUUGAAAUAGUUUAGGGUAGUAAGGUGAGAGAUAGGAGGUAGAGAUGAAUGUUAGGGGGUAUUGAUAGAAGAUAUAAAUGAAUGGUAUUUAUAUUGGGAGUAGAUGUGGGUGAUAAGAUUAUAGUGAAAGGGAAAGAGAUGUAGUAAGGUUAAAUGUAAGUUAAGUGGUAAAGGAUGUGGGAUUGAAGAAAAGGAUGUUGGUUAGAAGAGAUAUUAAAGAGUGGUAAUAGUAUGGUGAGUGAUUGGGAAGAUUUGGGGUAAAAUUAUAGAAGUAGGAUAGUAAUGAUGGGUAGGGGAGUUAUAGGGUUGAAGAUGAGUAAGGAAUGUGGAAGUAUGGGAGUGAGAAUGUUGGAUGAGUAGGAGAUGUGGGUGAGAAUAAGGGUAAAAAGGUUUAGGGGAAGGUUGUGUGGGUUAGUGGGAUAAGUGAGGGAAAGGGUAGGUGAUGGAAAAGGUUGAUAUUUGUAUAGAUAAGUUUGAGAGAAGGGAUGAAAGUAGGAUAAGUAAGAAUGUUGGUUAUGUGUGAAGAUUGAGGAGUAAAGUAGGAAAUGUUUGAUAAUGUGGGAUGUGAUGGGGAGGAAAUUUAGUAGGAAGUAGUGAUUUAAUGUAAGAAAAGUUUAUGAGGUUAAAGGUAGUAGAAAGAAAGGUGGGUGAGGAGAGUAUUAAGGAGGAGAGAAUGUUGUUAAGGAAUGGAAAAUGAGUAAUUAGGGAUAAGGGGUGAAUAGGUGGGAGAGAAUAGGAAGGAUGUUUAAAAAAAUAGGUUUUGUAAGUGAAGAGAUGUAUAGGAGUGAGUGGGUGUGGAAGGUUAAGGGGAUUGUUAGAGAAUGAAGAGUGAAUUAAGAGUAAAGGGGGUAAUAUAAGGUUAAGGUAGGAAAUUUUGUGGGUAAGUUGGAGAGAAAGGGUAAGAUUUGGGAUGUUAAAAAGAUGGUGAAAUUGUAAUUGGUGAAGAUGGGAUAUGGAAGGAGGAAAGAAUGGAGUUUAUGUAGUUGAAUUGGGUUUGGUAUAAUGUAAGGAUAGGUGGGAGGUUUGAAAAGGAGAGUUUUGGGGAGAUUUGGGAUAAUUGUAGUAUGGGAUUAAAUAGGAUGAAUUGGUUUGGAAUGUAGGUGGGAGUUUGAUGGGGGGUGUAAAAGGUAAGGAGGGUAAAGGUUUUAGUAGGUGGAAAUGUAGUAGAGUGUAAAGGAAAAGAGAGUUGAUUGAAGAAUAAGGUGAGAAGGAUGAAAAUGGAUUAGUGAUGGUGGUUUGGUGGAAGGGAUGUAAGGAUAAAAGUAUGGGGAUAAAGGUUAUUAAGAGUAAUGAGGGGAGGUUUGGAUGAUGUGGUAUAAUUGGGGUGUAGUAGGUAAGGGUUGGGUGUUGAUUAAAGUGGUAGGAGUGGGUUAGAAGUGUGAGAAGUUGGUUAUGUGAGGGUAGGAAAUUUGAGAAGAUGUUUAGUAGAGAGGAGGGAUGGAGUAUUGGUGUAAGUUGUUGAAGGGAUGGUGGGUAGUAUGUAGGAAUGGAUAAGGUGAAAGAUUAAGGGAAGAAUUAAGAUAAGAUUUAGAAGGGUAAGAAGAAAGAUAUUGGUUGAUAGGUGAAGGUGUAAGUGAGAAUGUAUUUAGUUAUGAUA